Long non-coding RNA from Brassica napus (rape), 2746 nucleotides. RefSeq lists it as uncharacterized. The record is from RefSeq and is a predicted model, not a curated record. The transcript has 2 exons. NCBI's taxonomy places the organism in Eukaryota, Viridiplantae, Streptophyta, Magnoliopsida, Brassicales, Brassicaceae.
UGAGUUAUCUCUUUUGUAAAAUUGGUAACUCAAAUAAUUAAUCAACAUCAACCAAAAUCGUAUGUAUUAGAGUUGAGGUAGUAGUUAUUUUGCUUUCUGUCAAUUACCUUACGGUUACUUUUACUUUUUUAACACUUUAAUAUUUGAAUUGCAUAGAAAUUAUUUAUCACGUUUACUUUCCUUGAGUUACUAAACCAUUUUCAAAAAAUAAAAUCAUGUAAGUAUUUAUUAGUUAGUCAAAGAUUUUUAUAAAUUUUCUUAUUUGAUUUGGAUUAUUAUUCAAACAAAAUUAUUUCUUUAAUUUUAACUGUUAACUAUGUUUAGUAACUAGAAAUUUUAUAUAUGAAAUUACAUGAAUAUAUAAAUACAUUUGCUCAGUUGCCUUUGCUAUAAUGUGUAUAUAUAUAUACAUGUUUAAGUAUAUUUAUUUAAUUUUUAUUAUAUAUUUUAUACUUUCAGUCUAGUUUACUAAAUUCAUGAUAAAGGUUAUCAUUGUUAGCAUUUAUAAAAUUAUAUUUUAAAUAAACUACUACAAUUUAUACAUCAAAAAUGUUACCAGUCAGUUAUUUUUAAAAAUUAGUAACUCAUAUUUUGACAGCGAAUUCACUACAUAAAUUUACAGUUUCUACCACAUAAUUUUUACUGCGAGUUACAUCGAAUUGUAAUUUUUAUUAUAAAUCAACUCUAAUACAACAUGUCACCAAUCGGAGCCAUAAUAAAGUUGGCUUGAGUCCCUCUUUAUGCUGCCACAUCAUCAGUAUGCAUAGGGCAUUUUUCGCCACGUGUCACUUCAUUAAAUUUUAAAUGAAAUCGAUUUUUUCGUUCUGAAUACCGAAACCCAUUAUGGGCUCUACGACAGCAAGACUUCUGUUUGGGCUUAUAUCAUGUUGUUUUCUCAGGCCCAAUGGUUUUGUGUGUGAGCUUACGAUCCCUCUUCUGCUUCCUGUAAUCCAAGAUUAGGGUUUCUGUAAUCGAAGAGCUUACCAUCUCUCUUCCACUUCCUCGGCCAAGUAACUCUCGGGAGUUAUGUCAUUCAAUGAGAAAACCCAAAAAUCCCAUGAACUCUUCUUUAUUGCUGCCUUUAUUUGUUGUUCAGUAGCUAUCUUCAGCAUCUAUAUAUAUUUUCGAUGUGGCUUCCCCGUUUCCCAUAGUCUCCGCCUAUUACUUCUGGACUGAAACUCUCAAACAAGAUCUUCAAAAAUGGCAACUUCCAGCUACACUUUUUCGAGUUGAAGACAGGCCGGUGAAAUGAUAUUGUUCAGACGAGACUUCUCCGUUUUUGGGCGUCUCAGAAUGUGAAGAAAGGAGGUCAAUUGAUAAGCAUGGAUAUGCUACUGCUUGAUGCCAAGGUGACGAUGGUUCAGGGCUUCAGGCAUCAAGAAAUGUACACCGGCUGAACAUCUUCUAACAGUUAUUGAGUGACAAGAAGCAACCGAAACGUCUUUAUGGAGAUAUCCGAAACGGUUCAAACCAAUCCCAGUGGAGCACUUCAGAUUUCUGAAUUAUGACCAACUAAUGGUACGAGCCAACACCAAUUCUGAUUUACCAGGUUAGAUUUAAAUUCACACUUUUAAUACUUCUCAAUAUACUACUUUGAUACAAGACUUACUAGCUUUGGUUAUAUUUCCUCCAUAGAUAUUGUUGGCCAAGUAAAGAGGACUAGAACUACAUACAGGGAAGGAGACUCAGAGUACAACACAUGAUGAUUACCAUAAGCAUCAAAAGGUAUAAACUCACAUACAGUUUUUUUUCUAUUAAAGUUUAGCCAACUUUCUUUAUUAUUAUCAUGCAACUAGCUCGAAUUCUUAAAUAUAUAGUAUGCCCAUCUAUACUGAAAAGUAAUGUUCUAGCUGUCUUCACUAUUUCGUGAUUUGGUAUUAUAUACAAACUGCUUUUGGCCCAAAGAAAGUCAACAUCAUAUCAUAUGCACUAUCAUAUGUAUGUUUUAUGGAUAAACGUGAAACCAUCUCUAAAUAAAAACUGUUAUGGUACAAGAAACCGAACACGUCGUCGUACGAAUGCAGGUUCCAAAUAAUUAAUGAGCAUUAUCUCUGUAGAACCCAUACAUUUGUAUAGAUUAUACGUUCCUUUCUUAAUUAAAUAAUUUGAGCUGUCAUCCUAAAUUAUAAUUUGAUCUUAUCUUCUCUAAUGCUUCGAGCAAAUAUAGAAAGCAACUAGGUCUAUGUGUCGACAUGCAUAAAAAAUUUCGCAACUGUCGUUCCAGGAACUCAAAUGUAUGCCUAAGUGUGUUUGAAGGAUUGGCGAAAGCUCUUGAUGAAAUGAGAAUUUCUAUUGAACCGAAGGUGGUGGUUGCCACAAACUUCAACCCUAAAUUGAGAGUAAGCAAUUAACCACCAUUUCUUAAGCAUGAUAUAGCUGGUCUUAAAAUGUUAAUUGACUCAAGUUUUUUUCAGGUCGGCUCUUCCUGAAUGCAACCUCUCCAAUCCAUUUCUAUUUUAAUAAUGACAGUGGUGCAGGUAAAAGUUAUCUUGAGAGGUAAUGACUUUCACCACUAUUUUCUACAUAAGGAGAAAACCUUAAUAGUCCAAACCCACUGACUGAAAGCGGUUCUUAUUUAGGACAUGUGGCAUUGGAAAAGGCUCGACCUCCAGCCCUAUAAAAUAUGGGGGUGUUGAGAAGAUUGAGAAACUAAAAAAAUAAGCAAAUCAAUAUAUAAACAUAUUUAGGAACUAGAUGUAACCAAAGAUAUAAAACUCCGCGCAAAAUAAAACAUCAUUUGUUGUUA